CCUACGUGUACAACGAUGAGGAUGACGUCUUUGCCCGGGAGCCAUUUGUGGCCCAGUUCUCUUUGCCCAGCAAUGUCCUUCCCAGCCUGGUGUUGGUCCCGCUGCACACCACUCCUAAGGCCGUAGAGAAGGAGCUGAACGCCCUCUACGAUGUGUUUCUGGAGGUCUCCCAGCACUGGCAGAGCAAGGUAGGCCUGGGCAGUUUGUACAGGAGGGACAAGGAUAGGGCGGCCCAGCGGCCAGCCUGAUGGCUGCUGUGUCUCUAGGACGUGAUCCUGCUCGGGGACUUCAAUGCUGACUGUGCUUCACUGACCAAAAAGCGCCUGGACAAGCUGGAGCUGCGGACUGAGCCAGGCUUCCACUGGGUGAUUGCCGACGGGGAGGACACCACAGUGCGGGCCAGCACCCACUGCACCUAUGACCGCAUCGUGCUGCACGGGGAGCGCUGCCGGAGUCUGCUGCACACUGCGGCUGCCUUUGACUUCCCCACGAGCUUCCAGCUCACCGAGGAGGAGGUGAAGGGAAGGGGCUGGCAUGAGGAGGGAGGGCAGCAGCAGGGUCACAGGGAAGCCCCUCGGCCCCGGGCACUGACACUGCCCCACCACCCAUUCCCAGGCCCUCAACAUCAGUGACCACUACCCCGUGGAGGUGGAGCUGAAGCUGAGCCAGGCGCACAGCGUCCAGCCUCUCAGCCUCACUGUUCUGUUGCUGCUAUCACUCCUGUCCCCUCAGCUGUGCCCUGCCGCCUGAGCGUCCCCCUACCCCCCCAGGGCCUGCUGCCUUUUGGGACUUAAACCCCAGCCUCCCCCGUCCAUCCAGCCCUGGGGCUGGGGGGCUUCAACUACAGUUGCCCUGUGACUGUAGUCCACCCCUGCCUGCCUUGUUUGAUUUGGCUCUUGUUCUUUGGUUGGGCUUGUGCCUAGAUUAGGAGAGGAAGCCAGGGGCCCUGCACUCAUGCCACCUGCCAGGU
RNAcentral lists this small RNA (970 nucleotides) under Pan troglodytes (chimpanzee). RNAcentral describes it as "retained intron". The record is from RNAcentral. Lineage: Eukaryota; Metazoa; Chordata; Mammalia; Primates; Hominidae.